This is a non-coding RNA of Sorex araneus (European shrew), 426 nucleotides long. NCBI's taxonomy places the organism in Eukaryota, Metazoa, Chordata, Mammalia, Eulipotyphla, Soricidae. The record is from the annotation of a RefSeq genome assembly.
AUGGCCUCUGGGCUGAGCUGGCUUCUCCUGGUGGCUGUGUUAGGAGGGGUCCAAUGUGAGGUGCAACUGGUGGAGUCUGGGGGAGACUUGGUGCAGCCCGGGGGGUCUCUGAAACUCUCCUGUGCAGCUUCCGGUUUCAAUUUUGGUGGCUAUGAAAUGAACUGGGUCCGCCAGGCUCCAGGGAAGGGCCUAGAGUGGAUUUCAUACAUUAAUACUGGUGGUGGUACUACAUACUAUGCCGACUCUGUGAAGGGUCGAUUCACCAUCUCCAGAGACAACAGCAAGAACACGCUCUCUCUGCAAAUGAGCAGCCUGAGGGAGGAGGACACGGCCCUGUACUACUGUGCGAGAGGCUUCCUGAUGGAAGUUUACAAUAAUGUGACCACGAUCUCAUUGGGGUCUGAGGGGCACAUUAUUCUCUUGUAG